AGGAUAUUACAGUUGGACGUGAUGGCCAGACCUCAUGAGUACCUCUUCCUGGAUGAGGCUGGCUUCAACCUGCAGAAACGAAAGCAAAGAGGCCGUAACGUCAUUGGCCAAAGAGCCAUCACUGAGGUUCCUGGCCAACGGGGGGGUAAUAUUACUCUUUGUGCGGCCAUGGGUUUGGAGGGGCUUGUCCACCGGCAUGCUGUCCUUGGGUCUUACAACACCCAAUGUCUCCUCACCUUCCUAGAGGAGCUAAAAGACAUCCUUCUGGACCGCCAACAACACCAUCCUGGGCCCGCACAUCACAUUUAUGUGAUCACUUGGGACAAUAGGAGUUCUUCUCAUUGUGGAGAUGGAAGGUUUAUGACAGACAACCAUACACUAGAGAGAACCUCCUAAGGGCAAUGGAGCUGGCCUGUGUUGACAUCCCAGUGGAGUCCUUCCAAGGAUGGAUUUGCCAUUCCAGGGCGUUUUUCCUGCGGUGCCUGGCAAGAGACAAUAUAGCCUGCGAUGUGGAUGAGGUGAUGUGGCCCGAUGCAGCUCAGCGACAUGAU
Molecule: long non-coding RNA, 551 nt
Organism: Cyprinus carpio carpio
Lineage: Eukaryota; Metazoa; Chordata; Actinopteri; Cypriniformes; Cyprinidae
Source: Ensembl